AACGUAGGUGGCGAGCGUUAUCCGGAUUUACUGGGCGUAAAGCGUGUGCAGGCGGCUUACCAAGUGGUGUAUGAAAUAUCCAGGCUCAACCUGGAGGGGUUAUGCCAGACUGGUAGGCUUGAGUGCGAGAGAGGGGCGUGGAAUUCCGGGUGUAGUGGUGAAAUGCGUAGAGAUCCGGAGGAACCCCAGAGGCGAAGGCGGCGCCCUGGCUCGACACUGACGCUCAGACACGACAGCAUGGGGAGCGAACGGG
Molecule: ribosomal RNA, 253 nt
Filed under: uncultured bacterium
Lineage: Bacteria
Description: partial 16S ribosomal RNA
Rfam family: Bacterial small subunit ribosomal RNA
Source: RNAcentral